AGCUCCAAUAGCGUAUAUUAAAGUUGUUGCAGUUAAAAAGCUCGUAGUUGGAUUUGUGGCUUUCGCUAGCGGCCCGUCACUUCGUGUCGGUGUUUGCUGGCGUAGCCAUCCUUGGGUGGAGCCUGUGUGGCAUUAGGUUGUCGUGCAGGGGAUGCCCAUCGUUUACUGUGAGAAAAUUAGAGUGUUCAAAGCAGGCUUAUGCCGUUGAAUAUGUUAGCAUGGAAUAAUAAGAUAGGACCUUGGUACUAUUUUGUUGGUUUGCGCACCGAGGUAAUGAUUAAUAGGGACAGUUGGGGGUAUUCGUAUUCCAUUGUCAGAGGUGAAAUUCUUGGAUUUCUGGAAGACGAACUACUGCGAAAGCAUUUACCAAGGAUGUUUUCAUUAAUCAAGAACGAAAGUA
RNAcentral lists this ribosomal RNA (400 nucleotides) under phytoplankton environmental sample. Its description in RNAcentral is "partial small subunit ribosomal RNA". It matches the Rfam family "Eukaryotic small subunit ribosomal RNA", at positions 587 to 991 of the family's 1831-position model. The record is from RNAcentral.